AUGGGUCCCAUCCCCAGGCCCCAGUCCCAGUCACACCCUCAAUCCCAGUCUUGUCCCAGUCCCAGUCUGGUCCCAGUCCCAGUCUUGUCCCAGUCUUGUCCCAGUCCCAGUCUGGUCCCAGUCUUGUCCCAGUCCCAGUCGUGUCCCAGUCCCAGUCUUGUCCCAGUCUUUUCCCAGUCCCAGUCUAGUCCCAGUCCCAGUCUUGUCCCAGUCUUGUCCCAGUCCCAGUUUUGUCCCAGUCCCAGUCUUGUCCCAGUCCCAGUCUUGUCCCAGUCCCAGUCUUGUCCCAGUUCCAGUCUUGUCCCAGUCCCAGUCAUGUCCCAGUCUUGUCCAAGUCUUGUCCCAGUCUUGUCCAAGUCUUGUCCCAGUCCCAGUCUUGUCCCAGUCCCAGUCUUGUCCCAGUCUUGUCCCAGUCCCAGUCUUGUCCCAGUCCCAGUCUUGUCCCAGUCCAAGUCUUGUCCCAGUCUUGUCCCAGUCCCAGUCUGGUCCCAGUCUUGUCCCAGUCCCAGUUUUGUCCCAGUCCCAGUCUUGUGCCAGUCUUGCCCCAGUCCCAGUCUUGUCCCAGUCCCAGUCUCGUCCCAGUCUUGUCCCAGUCCCAGUCUUGUCCCAGUCUUGUCCCAGUCCCAGUCUUGUCCCAGUCCCAGUCGUGUCCCAGUCCCAGUCUUGUCCCAGUCCCAGUCUUGUCCCAGUCUUGUCCCAGUCUUGUCCCAGUCUUGUGCCAGUCUUGUCCCAGUCCCAGUCUUGUCCCAGUCUUGUCCCAGUCUUGUCCCAGUCCCAGUCUUGUCCCAGUCUUGUCCCAGUCCCAGUCUUGUUCCAGUCCCAGUCUUGUCCCAGUCCCAGUCUUGUCCCAGUCCCAGUCUUGUCCCAGUCUUGUCCCAGUCCCAGUCUUGGCCCAGUCCCAGUCUUGCCCCAGUCCCAGUCUUGUCCCAGUCCCAGUCUUGUCGCAGUCUUGGUCCAUCCCCAGUCUUGUCCCAGUCUUGUCCCAGUCUUGUCCCAGCCCCAGUCUUGUCCCAGUCCCAGUCUUGUCCCAGUCCCAUUCUUGUCCCAGUCCCAGUCUUGUCCCAGUCCCAGUCUUGUCCCAGUCUUGUCCCAGUCCCAGUCUUGUUCCAGUCCCAGUCGUGUCCCAGUCCCAGUCUUGUCCCAGUCCCAGUCUUGUCCCAGUCUUGCCCCAGUCCCAGUCUUGUCCCAGUCCCAGUCUUGUCCCAGUCUUGUCCCAGUCCCAGUCUUGGCCCAGUCCCAGUCUUGGCCCAGCCCCAGUCUUGUCCCAGUCCCAGUCUUGUCCCAGUCUUGGUCCAGCCCCAGUCUUGUCCCAGUCUUGUCCCAGUCUUGGUCCAGCCCCAGUCUUGUCCCAGUCUUGUCCCAGUCUUGUCCCAGCCCUAG
Molecule: long non-coding RNA, 1380 nt
Filed under: Oncorhynchus mykiss (rainbow trout)
Lineage: Eukaryota; Metazoa; Chordata; Actinopteri; Salmoniformes; Salmonidae
Description: lncRNA (ENSOMYG00000072186.1)
Source: RNAcentral